This 271-nucleotide ribosomal RNA is filed under the name uncultured bacterium. RNAcentral's name for it is "partial 16S ribosomal RNA". It matches the Rfam family "Bacterial small subunit ribosomal RNA", at positions 524 to 794 of the family's 1533-position model. The record is from RNAcentral.
UACGUAGGUGGCAAGCGUUGUCCGGAUUUAUUGGGUUUAAAGGGUGCGUAGGCGGUUCCAUAAGUCAGUGGUGAAAUACAGCCGCUUAACGGUUGAGGUGCCAUUGAUACUGCGGAACUUGAGUACAGACGAGGUAGGCGGAAUUGACGGUGUAGCGGUGAAAUGCUUAGAUAUCGUCAAGAACACCGAUAGCGAAGGCAGCUUACUAGACUGUAACUGACGCUGAGGCACGAAAGUGUGGGGAUCAAACAGGAUUAGAAACCCUAGUAGU